Non-coding RNA from Peromyscus maniculatus bairdii (prairie deer mouse), 1445 nucleotides. NCBI's taxonomy places the organism in Eukaryota, Metazoa, Chordata, Mammalia, Rodentia, Cricetidae. The record is from RefSeq and is a predicted model, not a curated record.
CAGAAAAAGCCACAACGGUGCACAGGUUAACUGCCUCUGCACAAAGAAAAGAGGACACCUAGGGUUUGUCGUGAACCCGAUGACGGGCAUCGCUUACUAUGAACAGCUGUAAGGAUGAUUACGAAUCACACCCUCCUGCUGUUCUCACUGGACUGGCUUCCUUCCCUUUCAGCACCACUUCAUUAAAGCCUUGCAGAAGCUCUCCGGAAGCAUCCAACCGCCUAUUAGAAGGUCUGUAAGAUAUGGUGCUGGGAGUUGAACCCAGAGCGUGCCAUCUUCUACUGAGCACUCCCCACAGACGACACCCGGGUUUUUUGUUUUUAAUUUUUUUCUUUAAACAUCCUUCUGGGAAUCUUUCUGAUCUGUUGGCCUAUUUUUCCACAGCUCCCAAACACCCUGAGUUUUUUUUUUUUAAGGUUAUGAACAGAUACCCCCAACCUAAACAUGUCAGAAGUCUCCGUUCCUUUUUUUACAGUUCCGCUAUCCAGAAUGCCCUUGGCCAACCCUGUAUCUACAUGUAUUCUUUUUUUCCCCCUUUAGGUAGUAUACUUUUUAGUUUUUUUGUUUUUGUUUGUCAUUAUUAUUAAUAUUAAUAAGUAUUAUUGUGUGUGUGUGUGUGUUGUUCAGGCACACACAUGUCAUGGCACAUGUUGAUAUCAGACAACUUUUGGAGAUUUUUCUCCUUCCACUAAUGGAUCCAGGAACUGAAUUCGAAUCCUCACACUCAUACAGUGAAUGCUUGUACCCAUGAAACCAUCUCCCUCAGUCUCCAGAUAUAAAUAAUCUUAUUGUGUAGCCCGGGCUGGGGUCAAAGAUGUGACAAUCUUCCUCUCUCCCUGAGGCUGUAUGGACUCCUGUGAUUGACCACCCAGACUCAGCUCAAGUGGAGCACAGUGAUGCCCAUGUGUAAUCCUAGCACUUGGGAGUCCAAUUGGCAUCAUGAUUUGCUGUAAUCUUAGUACUCCCAAGGCUGAGAAGCAAGUUCAAGGCUAGCAUGGGCUGCAGAAUGAGAUUCUGACUCAGUAUCUCCCUUUUCCCACCCAAAAAGGACAAGAAAAAGAAAACAAUUAAAUAUCAACAAUUCUGUAAAAUUUCCUCUGAUCUCUGAAUAAAAUAGGAUGGUUUUUCUCUGUAUAGAUCCCGUAACAUCUGAAAUAAAACUCCAUUUUACCAUUUACUAUCUAGCUGUAAUUAGUAGUAGAUGCAUUGAUUGGCCUUACCGCUAAUGGACCCCAUUUUGGUUUGUGUUUGUCUGUUUUGAGGCGGGAUCUCUCUGUGUAGUCCUCCAGACUGGCCUGAAAUUCACAGAGAUCCUCCUACGCCAGCCCCCUGACUGUGAGGGUUGUAGAUGUGUACCACCGUGGCUGGUUUCUGUCCCGUUCUUAAUGCGACAUCACUAGACACUUGUCAGUUCCAUCAAUUCCGAGUCACCUGUGGCCUCACAU